AUGGACAACAACAAUGAGGCCGGCGGUUCGGGCAAGCAAUUCUGGGAGCUGUCCCAGGAGAUGGAGGAAGAACCUCACCGCUAUGAGGACGCCGCGGAAGACACCGAUCCCGACUACACAACCCCUAGUGGCGUCGGGGAUGACACCACUGAUGGUGCCGCCGAGGAUGCUACCACUGAUGAUGGCAGCGCACGCAUAGAUGGCAGCCAACCGAAGAGGCAACGGAAGGACCGGCGCCCGAACGUGCUCGGCACCGUUAGGGAUGAAUUUACUGAAGUGUCCUCCAGUGGGCAUCCAACAGCGCCCAAAGAAUUAGUCAGUGGGUAUGCGGGACAACUCGGGUGCAUUCUCCGGAGCACCGUCUCGAUCAACACCGAGAACCUAAGGCAUCGUGACUGA
RNAcentral lists this ribosomal RNA (399 nucleotides) under Triticum aestivum (bread wheat). Its description in RNAcentral is "partial small subunit ribosomal RNA". Lineage: Eukaryota; Viridiplantae; Streptophyta; Magnoliopsida; Poales; Poaceae. The record is from RNAcentral.